Molecule: ribosomal RNA, 253 nt
Filed under: uncultured bacterium
Lineage: Bacteria
Description: partial 16S ribosomal RNA
Rfam family: Bacterial small subunit ribosomal RNA
Source: RNAcentral
GACAGAGGUGCCAAGCGUUAGGCGGAAUCCCUGGGCUUAAAGCGUGUGUAGGCGGAUGCCUAAGUACCUUGUGAAAUCCCACGGCUCAACCGUGGAACUGCUUGGUAUACUGGGUGUCUUGAGCCAUCUAGGGGCUACCGGAACAAAUGGUGGAGCGGUGAAAUGCGUAGAUAUCAUUUGGAACGCCAAUGGUGAAAACAGGUAGCUGGGGAUGUGCUGACGCUGAGACACGAAAGCCAGGGGAGCAAACGGG